RNAcentral lists this ribosomal RNA (442 nucleotides) under uncultured bacterium. Its description in RNAcentral is "partial 16S ribosomal RNA". It matches the Rfam family "Bacterial small subunit ribosomal RNA", at positions 338 to 795 of the family's 1533-position model. The record is from RNAcentral.
CCUACGGGUGACAGCAGUGGGGGAUAUUGCACAAUGGGCGCAAGCCUGACCCAGCAACGCCGCGUGAAGGAAGAAGGCUUUCGGGUUGUAAACUUCUUUUGUCAGGGAAGAGUAGAAGACGGUACCUGACGAAUAAGCCACGGCUAACUACGUGCCAGCAGCCGCGGUAAUACGUAGGUGGCAAGCGUUGUCCGGAUUUACUGGGUGUAAAGGGCGUGUAGCCGGGUUGACAAGUCAGAUGUGAAAUCCUGCGGCUUAACCGCAGAACUGCAUUUGAAACUGUUGAUCUUGAGUACUGGAGAGGCAGACGGAAUUCCUAGUGUAGCGGUGAAAUGCGUAGAUAUUAGGAGGAACACCAGUGGCGAAGGCGGUCUGCUGGACAGCAACUGACGGUGAGGCGCGAAAGCGUGGGGAGCAAACAGGAUUAGAUACCCUUGUAGUC